Molecule: ribosomal RNA, 497 nt
Filed under: uncultured bacterium
Lineage: Bacteria
Description: bacterial SSU rRNA
Rfam family: Bacterial small subunit ribosomal RNA
Source: RNAcentral
GACGAACGCUGGCGGCGUGCCUAAUACAUGCAAGUCGAGCGAACCAAUAAGAAGCUUGCUUUUUGUUGGUUAGCGGCGGACGGGUGAGUAACACGUGGGUAACCUGCCUGUAAGACCGGGAUAACUCCGGGAAACCGGUGCUAAUACCGGAUAGAUUAUCUUUCCGCCUGGAGAGAUAAGGAAAGAUGGCUUUUGCCAUCACUUACAGAUGGGCCCGCGGCGCAUUAGCUAGUUGGUGAGGUAACGGCUCACCAAGGCGACGAUGCGUAGCCGACCUGAGAGGGUGAUCGGCCACACUGGGACUGAGACACGGCCCAGACUCCUACGGGAGGCAGCAGUAGGGAAUCUUCCGCAAUGGACGAAAGUCUGACGGAGCAACGCCGCGUGAGUGAAGAAGGUCUUCGGAUCGUAAAGCUCUGUUGUUAGGGAAGAACAAGUAUCGGAGGAAAUGCCGGUACCUUGACGGUACCUGACGAGAAAGCCACGGCUAACUACGU